Molecule: transfer RNA, 76 nt
Filed under: Peptococcaceae bacterium
Lineage: Bacteria; Bacillati; Bacillota; Clostridia; Eubacteriales; Peptococcaceae
Description: tRNA-Met
Rfam family: tRNA
About the family: Transfer RNA (tRNA) molecules are approximately 80 nucleotides in length. Their secondary structure includes four short double-helical elements and three loops (D, anti-codon, and T loops). Further hydrogen bonds mediate the characteristic L-shaped molecular structure. tRNAs have two regions of fundamental functional importance: the anti-codon, which is responsible for specific mRNA codon recognition, and the 3' end, to which the tRNAs corresponding amino acid is attached (by aminoacyl-tRNA synthetases). tRNAs cope with the degeneracy of the genetic code in two manners: having more than one tRNA (with a specific anti-codon) for a particular amino acid; and 'wobble' base-pairing, i.e. permitting non-standard base-pairing at the 3rd anti-codon position.
Source: RNAcentral
UGCGGGGUGGAGCAGUGGUUAGCUCGUCGGGCUCAUAACCCGGAGGCCACAGGUUCGAAUCCUGUCCCCGCUACCA